This 620-nucleotide ribosomal RNA is filed under the name Teixeirichthys jordani (Jordan's damsel). Its description in RNAcentral is "partial 12S ribosomal RNA". It matches the Rfam family "Bacterial small subunit ribosomal RNA", at positions 671 to 1533 of the family's 1533-position model. Lineage: Eukaryota; Metazoa; Chordata; Actinopteri; Pomacentridae. The record is from RNAcentral.
CCUCAAAGCUGUCAUACGCUCCCGAGUUAAGAAGUGCCUAGAACGAAAGUAGCUUUACUAGACCUGACCCGACGAAAGCUGAGGAACAAACUGGGAUUCGAUACCCCACUAUGCUCAGCCGUAAAAGUUGAUAGAUCACCACACCAUCUAUCCGCCAGGAACUACGAGCGUCAGUUGGAAACCCAAAGGNCUUGGCGGUGCCUUGACCAUCCGAUCUAGAGGAGCCUGUUCUGUAACCGAUAAUCCCCGUUUAACCUCACCCCCUCCUGCAAUAUCAGCCUAUAUACCGCCGUCGUCAGCUCACCCUAUGAAGGACCAAAAGUGGGCAAAAUUGGUAAAACCCAGAACGUCAGGUCGAGGUGUAGCUAACGGAAGGGGAAGUAAUGGGCUACACUUCCUGAAACAGGAAAUACGAAUAAUGAACUGAAAUAAACAUUUGAAGGUGGAUUUAGCAGUAAGCAGAAGUCAUUACAUCCUGCUGAAAUUACAUGGCACUUAGGCACGUACAUAUCGCCCGUCACCCUCCCCAAGCUACCUAAAAAAUUUAACUUGCAAAGGGGAGGCAAGUCGUAACAUGGUAAGCGUACCGGAAGGUGCGCUUGGAAUAACCAGCAUGUAGC